GGGCCCGCACAAGCGGUGGAGCAUGUGGUUUAAUUCGAUGAUACGCGAGGAACCUUACCAGGGCUUAAAUGUAGUCUGACAGGGGUGGAAACACCCCCUCCUUCGGGCAGAUUACAAGGUGCUGCAUGGUUGUCGUCAGCUCGUGCCGUGAGGUGUCAGGUUAAGUCCUAUAACGAGCGCAACCCCUGCCGUUAGUUGCCAGCAUGUAAUGAUGGGAACUCUAACGGGACUGCCGGUGCAAACCGCGAGGAAGGUGGGGAUGACGUCAAAUCAUCACGGCCCUUACGUCCUGGGCUACACACGUGCUACAAUGGCCGGUACAGAGGGCAGCCACACCGCAAGGUGGAGCGAAUCCUUAAAACCGGUCUCAGUUCGGAUCGGGGUCUGCAACUCGGCCCCGUGAAGCUGGAAUCGCUAGUAAUCG
Molecule: ribosomal RNA, 424 nt
Filed under: uncultured bacterium
Lineage: Bacteria
Description: bacterial SSU rRNA
Rfam family: Bacterial small subunit ribosomal RNA
Source: RNAcentral